UGGAAAUUCACUAAAAAAAUAGUGAUUUUGAAUUGGAUCUACUAAUAAUCUAGUGAUUCUCUAAACUUUACAUCUUAAUUAGUGGAAUUUUCACAAUUGUAAAUAGUGACUCUUAGACUCACUACCAAAUUUGUGGUUUUGAAUUUGAUUCACUAAUAAACUUGUGAUUUCCCCCUUUCUAUGGUAACUGCUUGUGGCGCCAUUUUAGUUAUCUCAUAAAUUAUUCUUGUGAGUGAGUUUAUAAAAAAAAUCGUCGAUUAAUUAUUGAAGAAAAAAAACGAACACUAAAGUAUAUUUAUUACGAUAAUUUGCGAGCUUUACUUCUUCUCAUUGAGUUGCUUCCUGUUUCGAACUCUGUUAAAACGCCAAAAGGUAAAGGAAAAGGGAAAGGAAAAGGAAAGGGAAAAGGAAAAAAAAGGCUCGUUGAUGAGGAGAAUGAGGACAAUGAGCCCUUAAGCCUAGAUUUUCCUAAUAAAUAUCUGCUCAGACUUGCACCUUAAGGCACUAAUCUCGAACAAUAUGUAGAGAACAUUCGCGCUAACAAUAAAACUAAUGUUCAGCCUUAUUUGAUCUCUGUCAUUGGUCAAUCUCGUCAAAAUACAUUUAUCAACGGGGAUGGAUGGCUCAUAAAUGUGAAAGACGAAGGAAAUCGAUUAAUAAGCUUUGAUUUAUUAUUUAAGAUAUAUUAUGUCUUAAAUUUAGAAUACCCUGAGUCUCCGUAAUUUCUACAAUUUCAUGGAUUUUUACGUUUAUGGCAUGAAAGUAAAGCCAUAUAGUAUUGUAUCAUCGGUUCAUGUUAAUAUUAUAAAUAUUGAUUUAAAUGACGCUAGUGAUGAUGACAUUGGUUGUACUCCAUCAAAUGAAUGAAAAUUGUUUAUGAUUUAUACGAGAAAAUUUACUCUGAUAUCUCCCAAUAAUAAUUUUGUCUAUUAUUACAUAUACGGGUUCAU
This is a long non-coding RNA of Microplitis mediator, 950 nucleotides long. RefSeq lists it as uncharacterized. NCBI's taxonomy places the organism in Eukaryota, Metazoa, Arthropoda, Insecta, Hymenoptera, Braconidae. The transcript has 3 exons. The record is from RefSeq and is a predicted model, not a curated record.